This 348-nucleotide unclassified non-coding RNA is filed under the name soil metagenome. Its description in RNAcentral is "partial contains 5.8S ribosomal RNA, internal transcribed spacer 2, and large subunit ribosomal RNA". The stretch from base 1 to 120 matches the Rfam family "5.8S ribosomal RNA", at positions 35 to 154 of the family's 154-position model. The record is from RNAcentral.
GAUGAAGAACGUAGCAAAAUGCGAUAAGUAAUGUGAAUUGCAGAAUUCAGUGAAUCAUCGAAUCUUUGAACGCACAUUGCGCCCGCUGGUAUUCCGGCGGGCAUGCCUGUUCGAGCGUCAUUUCAACCCUCAAGCCCCCGGGUUUGGUGUUGGGGAUCGGCUCUGCCCUUCUGGGCGGUGCCGCCCCCGAAAUACAUUGGCGGUCUCGCUGCAGCCUCCAUUGCGUAGUAGCUAACACCUCGCAACUGGAACGCGGCGCGGCCAUGCCGUAAAACCCCAACUUCUGAAUGUUGACCUCGGAUCAGGUAGGAAUUCCCGCUGAACUUAAGCAUAUCAAUAAGCGGAGGA